This 206-nucleotide long non-coding RNA is filed under the name Elaeis guineensis (African oil palm). RNAcentral's name for it is "long non-coding RNA (EGUI_LNC062349)". Lineage: Eukaryota; Viridiplantae; Streptophyta; Magnoliopsida; Arecales; Arecaceae. The record is from RNAcentral.
AUUUAUAGAUGGAGAGCAUAACUGAUUAAUAGUGACGUCUGUAACCGUCUGGUCAUGGGCUGUUCAGAGCCGUCUGAAGUUUGUUACGGAAAGUGGUGGCGUCAGGGGUUGUUCAGGGCCAUGUGGAGUUGGUUACAGAGAGUGGAGUGGUGGCCGUUGUCGCAACUUGCCAGAGAGUAGUGGAGCCACAUGAAAUCCGUUGCAGA